This 496-nucleotide ribosomal RNA is filed under the name uncultured bacterium. RNAcentral's name for it is "partial 16S ribosomal RNA". It matches the Rfam family "Bacterial small subunit ribosomal RNA", at positions 29 to 507 of the family's 1533-position model. The record is from RNAcentral.
AUGAACGCUGGCGGCGUGCCUAAUACAUGCCAGUCGAGCGAACAGAUAAGGAGCUUGCUCCUUUGACGUUAGCGGCGGACGGGUGAGUAACACGUGGGUAACCUACCUAUAAGACUGGGAUAACUUCGGGAAACCGGAGCUAAUACCGGAUAACAUUUGGAACCGCAUGGUUCUAAAGUGAAAGAUGGUUUUGCUAUCACUUAUAGAUGGACCCGCGCCGUAUUAGCUAGUUGGUAAGGUAACGGCUUACCAAGGCGACGAUACGUAGCCGACCUGAGAGGGUGAUCGGCCACACUGGAACUGAGACACGGUCCAGACUCCUACGGGAGGCAGCAGUAGGGAAUCUUCCGCAAUGGGCGAAAGCCUGACGGAGCAACGCCGCGUGAGUGAUGAAGGGUUUCGGCUCGUAAAACUCUGUUAUUAGGGAAGAACAAACGUGUAAGUAACUGUGCACGUCUUGACGGUACCUAAUCAGAAAGCCACGGCUAACUACGUG